This 460-nucleotide ribosomal RNA is filed under the name uncultured bacterium. Its description in RNAcentral is "partial 16S ribosomal RNA". It matches the Rfam family "Bacterial small subunit ribosomal RNA", at positions 338 to 795 of the family's 1533-position model. The record is from RNAcentral.
CCUACGGGAGGCUGCAGUGAGGAAUAUUGGUCAAUGGACGCAAGUCUGAACCAGCCAUGCCGCGUGCAGGAAGACGGCUCUAUGAGUUGUAAACUGCUUUUGUACGAGGGUAAACGCAGAUACGCGUAUCUGUUUGAGAGUAUCGUACGAAUAAGCAUCGGCUAACUCCGUGCCAGCAGCCGCGGUAAUACGGAGGAUUCAAGCGUUAUCCGGAUUUAUUGGGUUGAAAGGGUGCGUAGGCGGUCGGAUAAGUUAGAGGUGAAAUCCCGAGGCUCAACUUCGGAAUUGCCUCUGAAACUGUUCGGCUAGAGAGUAGUUGCGGUAGGCGGAAUGUAUGGUGUAGCGGUGAAAUGCUUAGAGAUCAUACAGAACACCGAUUGCGAAGGCAGCUUACCAAGCUACUUCUGACGUUGAGGCACGAAAGCAUGGGGAGCAAACAGGAUUAGAUACCCCUGUAGUC